Molecule: ribosomal RNA, 490 nt
Filed under: uncultured bacterium
Lineage: Bacteria
Description: partial 16S ribosomal RNA
Rfam family: Bacterial small subunit ribosomal RNA
Source: RNAcentral
AUUGAACGCUGGCGGCAGGCCUAACACAUGCAAGUCGAACGGUAACAGGAAGAAGCUUGCUUCUUUGCUGACGAGUGGCGGACGGGUGAGUAAUGUCUGGGAAACUGCCUGAUGGAGGGGGAUAACUACUGGAAACGGUAGCUAAUACCGCAUAACGUCGCAAGACCAAAGAGGGGGACCUUCGGGCCUCUUGCCAUCGGAUGUGCCCUGAUGGGAUUAGCUAGUAGGUGGGGUAACGGCUCACCUAGGCGACGAUCCCUAGCUGGUCUGAGAGGAUGACCAGCCACACUGGAACUGAGACACGGUCCAGACUCCUACGGGAGGCAGCAGUGGGGAAUAUUGCACAAUGGGCGCAAGCCUGAUGCAGCCAUGCCGCGUGUAUGAAGAAGGCCUUCGGGUUGUAAAGUACUUUCAGCGGGGAGGAAGGGAGUAAAGUUAAUACCUUUGCUCAUUGACGUUACCCGAAGAAGAAGCACCGGCUAACUCCGUG